Long non-coding RNA from Manis pentadactyla (Chinese pangolin), 2736 nucleotides. RefSeq lists it as uncharacterized. The transcript has 2 exons. The record is from RefSeq and is a predicted model, not a curated record. Lineage: Eukaryota; Metazoa; Chordata; Mammalia; Pholidota; Manidae.
ACCCUGAGUGGGGAGGACACCCUGCUGAGUGGUCUGCUCCCCAACUCUCCCAAGAGGUUCUCUCACCUGGAGACCUGAGGGCCCCUAGGAGUCUGGAAAUGUGAGGGCAGGUGGGUAGGGAAGAGGCUGUGGUCAGCCUGAGGGCUGAGGCCUUUUUGAAGAGCCUCUUUUCACCCUGGGUGGAGCCCUCCCAGCCUCACUGUACAUUCUCUGUACACACAGUCCUCAGGGAGACAGGCUGUCCCACACAGGUCUUGGGGACACCCAGUUCGGGCCCUCCACCUAAGAAAGCACCAAACCCUGCUGUGGUCUGGGGGCGAUGGAAGCACGGACCAGCCUGGAGCAGAGGCCACUCACGGCCCCUCGUGUUGGGCUGCACAACAGCUUACAGAGCUGCCACCUUGAUCCUUCCUCACAGCAGCCCUGGGGGUGAGCAGCCGAUGGUUUCUUCUUUUGCUUUUUGGGCAUUUCAGAAAUCUUUAUUCAUAGCCCCUAAACUGCAAGAGUCAUAAGGUUUUUUUGAAAAGUACUGAAUGCAUAAUUAUUUAUAUCGUGAACACUACUAUUCUACCAAAUUUGAGAUUGUAUUCAACAGUCUCCAUUUCCUAAUGGUGAGUUUUACCUCCUUCCUCGUUUAUAAGGUACAGUGCUCUGGCUGGGGGGACAGGAGUCUGUUCUGUGUGUAGACUCUGCCCUUGAGUAUUUGGGUAACAUAAAGAUUUGCCUGACAUCAGCCUCAACAUGAAGACAACUGUCUUUCAAUUCAAAGUCAAUGCAAAAUGAUCACCACAAUGAGUCUAGUUAACAUGGGCCACCAUGUAUGGUUACAAAUUUUUUUCUUGCAGUGAGGUCCCUUAAGAUCUAUUCUCUUAGCUUUCAAAUAUGCAAUACCGUAUUACUAACUAUAGUUACCUUGCUGUACAUCACAUCCCCAGGACUUACGUAUUUUAUAACUGCAAGUUGGCAUCUUUGACCCAUUCACCAUUUCACCCACACCUCAGGCAACCACCAGUCUGCUCUAUAAGCUUGGGUUUUUUUGUUUGUUUGUUUGUUAGAUUCCACAUAUAAGUGAGAUCACACAGAUGUUUUGAUUCCCAUUUUACAGAUGAGGAGACAGGGGCCCAAGAGGGAAGGGCCCACAUCCCUCACUGUAAAGUCACGUAAAGAGUAAGACUCAUCUCUCUCCCCAGUGGGCAGGGUCCCUGCCCAUCCCGGAUGAGCUGGGUGGCGAAGGAGCACAGCUCGUCUGACUGUAGCUCAGCCUGCCUGCCUGGCAUGCCAAGUCCAGGUGAUCUGGAGGGAGGCGGGGCCCAGCACCCUCCUCCAGCCAGGCCCUGACUGCUGGGACAGACUCAGCCUCACACCUGCCAGAACCCCGGGGGCCUGCGCCUGGGAAAGGGGCCAGUCAGCCUCGAGGGAGGGACUUUCCCUCUGCCAACCCCCGUGAGCCCGGGUUUUCCCUGUUUCCUUGUCCCAUUGCUCUGUUUACCUGCAGGUCUGACUAGAACAGGGGAAGCUGGUACAACAGUCUGAGCUGGGGAUGUGCAAGUGGAACUUGGCGGGACUCUGCCGCACACCAACAUUCAUUCUGUGUGCCUAGCAGGGGCCUUGAAGAGUGUCCUGGUGAAAACCCCAAUGAGACAGGUCGCCCCAUCUCUCGUCUCUUCUUUCUGCCCCUGUUUCCUGUGUGUCUCUCUCUCCACAUAUAUAGAGAUAGAGAUAGAGAUAUAAGGUGUAUAUAUACAUAUAUGUUGAUAUACAUGUAUAUCAUACACAUACACAUACAUACACAUAUGUAUAUUUUGACUUUCUCUGUCUCUGUCUCUCUACCAUUUGCUAUCUUUGCCCAGAAUGGUCCUUGAACCACUGGGUGGGGGUUAGGUUUUCAAACACCCACCCUGCCACAGUUCUCAUCCCACUAGGGAGUCCAUGAGCGCUCAGUUUGGGAUUAAGAGUCUCCUUAUCUUCUCCUUUGGCCAAACUCACGUCGUUUGUGCUGCAGUUGAGGCAUUUGCUUUGAUGUCCUAAGGGCAUAAUGGUAAGACAGCGGUCAGAUCCUGACCAAGCUGCCCGGUGACAAAAUGUGGUGCUUUCUGGCACUGGGUCAUGCCACGGGAGUGGAGAGGAGCGGACAGGCAGCUCAGGGAGUGUGGCAAGAAGCUGUCAUGGCCAAUGUGGACCCCAGCCAAGUGCUGUGUAUGAGUAUAUUUAUAGACACAUGGAGCGACACACCCGCCUGGGAAGGUACUGUUUGUUUCCUGGGAGCGUGUUCCUGUUCUCAUGGUCUUACAGAUUUCCCAGGUAGCAUCGUGUGGCAACAGGGAAAACCAUAGCCUCUUCUACCUGGCAUUCACCCGCCGCAUAAAGAGAGACCUUUGGAGAAGGACCUGAUUGCCUCUCCCCGCUGGGAGACCGGCAGUCACCUCCCCUUGCCCUCAGGAUCAAGAACUGUCUCUUCCUCAUCUUUGCAUCCCAACAUCCAGUCUAGCGCCUGAUGCAGCGGAAAUGUAUACCGGUGAGUUGGUGACGCCGGGGAGAUGCGCACUGGCGAGUCGGUGAAUGAGCAGAUGAGAUGUUCCCAGUGCAGCUGCUAAGAGCCAAGGGGCUGCUUUUCAGGAAGAUUGGAUUUGAAUACACCUCUACUGCUUGCUAGCCAUGAGAUUUUCAUUACUAAGCCCCAAGUGGCAGUUUCUGAAUCUGUAAAGUGGCACAUACAAUAGAGCUGCACUUACAUGA